Bradysia coprophila is the source of this 76-nucleotide long non-coding RNA. Lineage: Eukaryota; Metazoa; Arthropoda; Insecta; Diptera; Sciaridae. The record is from RefSeq and is a predicted model, not a curated record.
CUUCUUUUUUGGGCAUUAGAUGUGUAGAUUGCCACACGAGGCCGCAGGCCGAGUGCGACAAUACACAUCGUAUGCC